UACGUAGGUGGCAAGCGUUGUCCGGAAUUAUUGGGCGUAAAGCGCAUGUAGGCGGUUUUUUAAGUCUGUCGUGAAACUGCGGGGCCCAACCCCGUAUGGCGAUGGAAACUGGAAGGCUUGAGUGCAGGAGAGGAAAGGGGAACUCCCAGUGUAGCGGUGAAAUGCGUAGAUAUUGGGAAGAACACCGGUGGCGAAGGCGCCUUUCUGGACUGUGUCUGACGCUGAGAUGCGAAAGCCAGGGUAGC
This 245-nucleotide ribosomal RNA is filed under the name uncultured Succiniclasticum sp. RNAcentral's name for it is "partial 16S ribosomal RNA". It matches the Rfam family "Bacterial small subunit ribosomal RNA", at positions 524 to 769 of the family's 1533-position model. The record is from RNAcentral. Lineage: Bacteria; Bacillati; Bacillota; Negativicutes; Acidaminococcales; Acidaminococcaceae.